AGUGAACGCUGGCGGUAGGCCUAACACAUGCAAGUCGAACGGCAGCACAGUAAGAGCUUGCUCUUACGGGUGGCGAGUGGCGGACGGGUGAGGAAUACAUCGGAAUCUACUUUUUCGUGGGGGAUAACGUAGGGAAACUUACGCUACUACCGCAUACGACCUACGGGUGAAAGCAGGGGAUCUUCGGACCUUGCGCGAUUGAAUGAGCCGAUGUCGGAUUAGCUAGUUGGCGGGGUAAAGGCCCACCAGGGCGACGAUCCGUAGCUGGUCUGAGAGGAUGAUCAGCCAAACUGGAACUGAGACACGGUCCAGACUCCUACGGGAGGCAGCAGUGGGGAAUAUUGGACAAUGGGCGCAAGCCUGAUCCAGCCAUAACGCGUGGGUGAAGAAGGCCUUCGGGUUGUAAAGCCCUUUUGUUGGGAAAGAAAAGCAGCAGGUUAAUACCCCGCUGUUCUGACGGUACCCAAAGAAUAAGCACCGGCUAACUUCGU
Molecule: ribosomal RNA, 491 nt
Filed under: uncultured bacterium
Lineage: Bacteria
Description: partial 16S ribosomal RNA
Rfam family: Bacterial small subunit ribosomal RNA
Source: RNAcentral